UACGGAGGAGGCAAGCGUUAUCCGGAAUUAUUGGGCGUAAAGCGUCCGCAGGUGGCACCUCAAGUCUGCUGUCAAAGACCGGGGCUUAACUUCGGAAAGGCAGUGGAAACUGAACAGCUAGAGUAUGGUAGGGGCAGAGGGAAUUCCUGGUGUAGCGGUGAAAUGCGUAGAGAUCAGGAAGAACAUCGGUGGCGAAGGCGGCUACCUGGACAGAGUCUGACGCUGAGGCACGAAAGCUAGGGGAGCAAACAGG
Molecule: ribosomal RNA, 253 nt
Filed under: uncultured bacterium
Lineage: Bacteria
Description: partial 16S ribosomal RNA
Rfam family: Bacterial small subunit ribosomal RNA
Source: RNAcentral